GCCCCGGCCCUCAGGGCAGAGCCGGGGGAGAACCCGCGGAAUCGGGGAAUAGAACGAGGUAAACCCACCCUCCCCCGCCGAAGCCUGGGUUUCAUCGCCCGGUGUUCUCAGAGCGGCCUCCUGGUGAAGGCACUAGAUGACAAGAUGGACAAGGAGGAGAAAGAAGUGUCUGUCAUUCAGGAAGGACAGCAAAGGAUCCUGAAAGCUGAACAGUGUUUCCAUUGUUUUAACACAAGCUCCGCUUCUCCACUGGAAGAUCCAAAUGACAAGGACACUGAGGGUUUCUUUCUCUUUGCUGUUUGUUUCCCUAGUAACAAAUACACAAGCUGCACUGUUAGACUACCA
This is a long non-coding RNA of Neopelma chrysocephalum (saffron-crested tyrant-manakin), 345 nucleotides long. RefSeq lists it as uncharacterized. The transcript is spliced from 2 exons. NCBI's taxonomy places the organism in Eukaryota, Metazoa, Chordata, Aves, Passeriformes, Pipridae. The record is from RefSeq and is a predicted model, not a curated record.